RNAcentral lists this ribosomal RNA (497 nucleotides) under uncultured bacterium. RNAcentral's name for it is "bacterial SSU rRNA". It matches the Rfam family "Bacterial small subunit ribosomal RNA", at positions 21 to 507 of the family's 1533-position model. The record is from RNAcentral.
GGCUCAGGAUGAACGCUAGCUACAGGCUUAACACAUGCAAGUCGAGGGGCAGCAUGAACUUAGCUUGCUAAGUUUGAUGGCGACCGGCGCACGGGUGAGUAACACGUAUCCAACCUGCCGAUGACUCGGGGAUAGCCUUUUCGAAAGAAAGAUUAAUACCCCGAUGGCAUAAUUCUUCCGCAUGAGUUUUAUGUUAAAGAAAUUCGGUUACAGAUGAACAUGCGUUCCAUUAGCUGGUUGCGGGGUAACGGCCCACCAAGGCGACGAUGGAUAGGGGUUCUGAGAGGAAGGUCCCCCACAUUGGAACUGAGACACGGUCCAAACUCCUACGGGAGGCAGCAGUGAGGAAUAUUGGUCAAUGGACGAGAGUCUGAACCAGCCAAGUAGCGUGCAGGAUGACGGCCCUAUGGGUUGUAAACUGCUUUUAUAAGGGAAUAAAGUGAGUCUCGUGAGACUUUUUGCAUGUACCUUAUGAAUAAGGACCGGCUAAUUCCGUG